Molecule: ribosomal RNA, 366 nt
Filed under: Bacillus haynesii
Lineage: Bacteria; Bacillati; Bacillota; Bacilli; Caryophanales; Bacillaceae
Description: bacterial SSU rRNA
Rfam family: Bacterial small subunit ribosomal RNA
Source: RNAcentral
GUCCCGCAACGACCGCACCCCUUGCUCUCAGUCGCCAGCACUCAGUUGGGCACUCUAAGGUGACUGCCGGUGACAAACCGGAGGAAGGUGGGGAUGACGUCAAAUCAUCAUGCCCCUUAUGACCUGGGCUACACACGUGCUACAAUGGGCAGAACAAAGGGCAGCGAAGCCGCGAGGCUAAGCCAAUCCCACAAAUCUGUUCUCAGUUCGGAUCGCAGUCUGCAACUCGACUGCGUGAAGCUGGAAUCGCUAGUAAUCGCGGAUCAGCAUGCCGCGGUGAAUACGUUCCCGGGCCUUGUACACACCGCCCGUCACACCACGAGAGUUUGUAACACCCGAAGUCGGUGAGGUAACCUUUGGAGCCAG